UUUGCAAUCAUAUUUUUUAUUUUUUUCACCAAAUAUUAAUAACGAACCUAUUGUUUUGGGCUAACUAGGUUAUGACGAAUUUAAAAUUAUAUACUCUGACGAUCUGGAUGUAAUCACUUUUUCUGCACCAAAUAUUAAUAGUGAACCUAUUGUUUUAGGUUAACUAGAGUAUGAUAAAUUUAAAAUCAUACACUGUGACAAUCUGGAUAAAACCAUCACAAGUUAGUGCGCGGGGAAUAUUCACCGGUGCACAUCCAUGACGAACAAAAAUUAUCGUCAUGGAUUCUGUUUGUUAGUGACGGUUUGUAAAUCCGACACCGCGAAUUCGUCAUGGAUUAACAAGUUUCUUGUACUGGAAUGUUUAGUGGGGUUAUUUAGUGAGGAAUGAUGUGGAUAACUUGCAUGAAGAAAUAAACCAUCUAGUGGGGCUU
This 431-nucleotide long non-coding RNA is filed under the name Sorghum bicolor (sorghum). RNAcentral's name for it is "long non-coding RNA (SBIC_LNC018763)". The record is from RNAcentral. Lineage: Eukaryota; Viridiplantae; Streptophyta; Magnoliopsida; Poales; Poaceae.